AUGCAGAUGACGAGUCCGAAUAGGACGAAAUGCGCAUCUUGGAU
Molecule: non-coding RNA, 44 nt
Filed under: Trichobilharzia regenti
Lineage: Eukaryota; Metazoa; Platyhelminthes; Trematoda; Strigeidida; Schistosomatidae
Source: RNAcentral